Transfer RNA from Macleaya cordata, 81 nucleotides. It matches the Rfam family "tRNA". Rfam says of the family: Transfer RNA (tRNA) molecules are approximately 80 nucleotides in length. Their secondary structure includes four short double-helical elements and three loops (D, anti-codon, and T loops). Further hydrogen bonds mediate the characteristic L-shaped molecular structure. tRNAs have two regions of fundamental functional importance: the anti-codon, which is responsible for specific mRNA codon recognition, and the 3' end, to which the tRNAs corresponding amino acid is attached (by aminoacyl-tRNA synthetases). tRNAs cope with the degeneracy of the genetic code in two manners: having more than one tRNA (with a specific anti-codon) for a particular amino acid; and 'wobble' base-pairing, i.e. permitting non-standard base-pairing at the 3rd anti-codon position. The record is from Rfam. NCBI's taxonomy places the organism in Eukaryota, Viridiplantae, Streptophyta, Magnoliopsida, Ranunculales, Papaveraceae.
GUCAAGAUGGCCGAGUUUGUCUAAGGCGCCAGUUUCAGGUACUGGUCCGAAAGGGCAUGGGUUCGAAUCCAAUUCUUGACA